Molecule: long non-coding RNA, 1002 nt
Organism: Gorilla gorilla gorilla (western lowland gorilla)
Lineage: Eukaryota; Metazoa; Chordata; Mammalia; Primates; Hominidae
Exons: 3
Source: RefSeq, a predicted model, not a curated record
UUCUUGGCGUUCACUGCAAGCUAUAAACUCUGCAAGUGGUGCACCCGACGUGAUCGCCUUGAAGUUAUGCGUGAAAGGAGGAGAGCUCAUCAAUUUUCGGAAAAUCCCGAUGGAGUCUCACUCUGUCGCCCAGGCUGGAGUGCAGUAGCGUGAUCCCGGCUCACUGCAACCUCCGCCUCCCUGGUUCAAGCUAUUCUCCUGCCUCAGCCUCCUGAAUAGCUGGGAUUACAGGCGUGCGUCACCCCACAACAGGACUUAAUUGACCUUGCCUUCAAGGUGUACAAUAAUAGAGAAAAGUUACAAUUACUUGCCUCUCCUGUGAGACAAAACCCAGCUGCACCUCCAGCACACGAGAACUUCAAAAUGCCUAAGCGGCACAUGCCUAAACCGCAGUGGUCAAGCAUUCCUACAUGACCUUCUUCAUCAGGAUCUUGCUUCAAGUGCCAGAAAUCUGGCCACUGGGCCAAGAAAUGCCUGCAGCCCGGGAUUCCUCCUAAGCCGUAUCCCAUCUGUGCAGGACCCCACUGAAAAUCAGACUGUCCCACUCGCCUCGCAGUCACUCCCAGAGCUCUGGGAUCUCUGGCCCAAGACUCUCUGACUGACUCCUUCCCAGAUCUUCUCAGCUUAGCGGCUGAAGACUGAUGCUGUCCGAUCACCUUGGAAGCCUCCCGGGCCAUCACAGACACUUUGGGUAACUCUUACAGUGGAGGGUAUACAUCCAGAUGGCCUGAAGCAAUUAAAGAUCCACGAAAGAAGUGAAAAUAGCCUCAACUGAUGACAUUCCACCAUUGUGAUUUGUUCCUGUCCCACCCUAACUGAUAAAUAUAUUCUCCCCCACCCUUACGAAGGCACUUUGUAAUAUUCGCCCCUGCCCUUAAGAAUGUAGUUUGUAUGUCUAUCCCAAACCUAUAAGAACUAAUGAUAAUCCCACCACCCUUUGCUGACUCUCUUUUCGGACUCAGCCCGCCUGCACCCAGGUGAAAUAAACAGCUUUAUUGCUCA